GUCUAUAACUCAUAACCCUUUGUGAACCUUUAUACCUGUUGCUUCGGCGGCGCGCCUCCCGGGGCGUGCCCGCCGGUAUCAUCAGAAUCUCUGUUCGAACCCGACGAUAUUUCUGAGUGUUCUAAGCGAACUGUUAAAACUUUCAACAACGGAUCUCUUGGCUCCAGCAUCGAUGAAGAACGCAGCGAAACGCGAUAUGUAAUGUGAAUUGCAGAAUUCAGUGAAUCAUCGAAUCUUUGAACGCACAUGGCGCCUUCCAGUAUCCUGGGAGGCAUGCCUGUCCGAGCGUCGUUUCAACCCUCGAGCCCCCGUGGCCCGGCGUUGGGGAUCUGCCCAGGCAGUCCCCGAAAACCAGUGGCGGACCCGUUACAGGCCCUUCCCUUGCGUAGUAGCAUUCGCCUCGCAUCGGGAGCCGGCGGGCUUCCAGCCUCUAAACCCCCAUCAAGUCCGCCCCGGCGGCACCAAGGUUGACCUCGGAUCAGGUAGGAAUACCCGCUGAACUUAAGCAUAUCAAUA
The sequence is a ribosomal RNA, 516 nucleotides long. The stretch from base 138 to 291 matches the Rfam family "5.8S ribosomal RNA".